GACGAACGCUGGCGGCGUGCUUAACACAUGCAAGUCGAACGGAAAGGCCCUGCUUUUGUUGGGUGCUCUAGUGGCGAACGGGUGAGUAACACGUGAGUAACCUGCCCUUGACUUUCGGAUAACUUCAGGAAACUGGGGCUAAUACCUGAUAGGAGCUCCUGCUGCAUGGUGGGGGUUUGAAAGUUUCGGCGGUUGGGGAUGGACUCGCGGCUUAUCAGCUUGUUGGUGGGGUAGUGGCUUACCAAGGCUUUGCCGGGUAGCCGGACUGAGAGGGGGACCGGCAACAUUGGGACAGAGAUACGGCACAGACUACUAAGGGAGGCAGAAGUGGGGAAGAUUGAAUGAUGGGCGGAAGCCGGAUGCAGCAACGCCGCGUGCGGGAUGACGGCCUUCGGGUUGUAAACCGCUAUCGCCUGUGACGAAGCGUGAGUGACGGUAAUGGGUAAAGAAGCACCGGCUAACUACGUG
Molecule: ribosomal RNA, 468 nt
Filed under: uncultured bacterium
Lineage: Bacteria
Description: partial 16S ribosomal RNA
Rfam family: Bacterial small subunit ribosomal RNA
Source: RNAcentral